RNAcentral lists this ribosomal RNA (801 nucleotides) under Streptococcus equi subsp. zooepidemicus. RNAcentral's name for it is "bacterial LSU rRNA". It matches the Rfam family "Bacterial large subunit ribosomal RNA", at positions 1118 to 1935 of the family's 2925-position model. Lineage: Bacteria; Bacillati; Bacillota; Bacilli; Lactobacillales; Streptococcaceae. The record is from RNAcentral.
UUCAUUCAAAGAGUGCGUAAUAGCUCACUAGUCGAGUGACCCUGCGCCGAAAAUGUACCGGGGCUAAAACAGUUUACCGAAGCUGUGGAUUACUGUUAAGGUAAUGGUAGGAGAGCGUUCUAUGUGUGAUGAAGGUAUACUGUGAAGAGUGCUGGAACGCAUAGAAGUGAGAAUGCCGGUAUGAGUAGCGAAAGACAGGUGAGAAUCCUGUCCACCGUAAGACUAAGGAUUCCAGGGGAAGGCUCGUCCGCCCUGGGUUAGUCGGGACCUAAGGAGAGACCGAAGGGUGUAUCCGAUGGACAACAGGUUGAUAUUCCUGUACUAGAGUAUAUAGUGAUGGAGGGACGCAGUAGGCUAACUAAACCGGACGACUGGAAGAGUCCGGCUAAGCAGUGAGGUGUGAUGUGAGUCAAAUGCUUACAUCUAUAACAUUGAGCUGUGAAGGGGAGCGAAGUUAAGUAGCGAAGUUAGAGACGUCACACUGCCAAGAAAAGCUUCUAGCGAUAUGUAUACUCUACCCGUACCGCAAACCGACACAGGUAGUCGAGGCGAGUAGCCUCAGGUGAUCGAGAGAACUCUCGUUAAGGAACUCGGCAAAAUGGCCCCGUAACUUCGGGAGAAGGGGCGCUGACUGAAGGUCAGCCGCAGUGAAUAGGCCCAAGCAACUGUUUAUCAAAAACACAGCUCUCUGCUAAAUCGUAAGAUGAUGUAUAGGGGGUGACGCCUGCCCGGUGCUGGAAGGUUAAGAGGAGUGCUUAGCGCAAGCGAAGGUAUGAAUUGAAGCCCCAGUAAACGGCGGCC